RNAcentral lists this ribosomal RNA (123 nucleotides) under uncultured bacterium. RNAcentral describes it as "partial 16S ribosomal RNA". It matches the Rfam family "Bacterial small subunit ribosomal RNA", at positions 223 to 345 of the family's 1533-position model. The record is from RNAcentral.
GGAUGGAACUAUAUCCUAUCAGCUUGUUGGUAAGGUAAUGGCUUACCAAGGCUAUGACGGGUAGCUGGUUUGAGAGGAUGAUCAGCCACACUGGAACUGANACACGGUCCAGACUCCUACGGG